Molecule: ribosomal RNA, 536 nt
Filed under: uncultured crenarchaeote
Lineage: Archaea; Thermoproteati; Thermoproteota
Description: bacterial SSU rRNA
Rfam family: Archaeal small subunit ribosomal RNA
Source: RNAcentral
CCCUAUGGGGCGCAGCAGGCGCGAAACCUCUGCAAUAGGCGAAAGCCUGACAGGGUUACUCUGAGUGAUUUCCGCUAAGGGGAUCUUUUGGCACCUCUAAAAAUGGUGCAGAAUAAGGGGUGGGCAAGUCUGGUGUCAGCCGCCGCGGUAAUACCAGCACCCCGAGUGGUCGGGACGAUUAUUGGGCCUAAAGCAUCCGUAGCCGGYUCUGCAAGUCUUCCGUUAAAUCCAGCCGCUCAACGGAUGGGCCGCGGAGGAUACUAYAGGACUAGGAGGCGGGAGAGGCAAGCGGUACUCAGUGGGUAGGGGUAAAAUCCUUUGAUCCAUUGAAGACCACCAGUGGCGAAGGCGGCUUGCCAGAACGCGCUCGACGGUGAGGGAUGAAAGCUGGGGGAGCAAACCGGAUUAGAUACCCGGGUAGUCCCAGCUGUAAACGAUGCAGACUCGGUGAUGGGCUAGCCUUGUGCCAGCCCAGUGCCGCAGGGAAGCCGUUAAGUCUGCCGCCUGGGGAGUACGGUCGCAAGACUGAAACUUAA